GACCGUGCAAAGGUAGCAUAAUCAUUUGCCUUAUAAUUGAAGGCUUGUAUGAAUGGUUUGACAAGAAUAGAUCUGUCUCUCUGCAAUUAAAUAAAAUUUUAUUCACAGGUGAAGAAGCCUGUAUAAAAUUGAAAGACAAGAAGACCCUAUCGAGCUUUAAAGUAGUUAGUAAGUUUUAAAUCAUAUUUAUACUGAAUUAAUUAUUAAAAAUUUUAGUUGGGGCGACUGAGGAACAAAUAAAGCUUCCUUAAAAUUUUAAUGCCUACAAGCUAUGAUCCAAAUAUUUUGAUUAAAGAAAUUAGUUACCGUAGGGAUAACAGCAUUAUCUUUUUUAAGAGCUCAAAUCGAAAAAAAGGCUUGUGACCUCGAUGUUGGACCAGAAUGUCCUAAAGAUGCAGUCGUCUUUAAGGGUUGGUCUGUUCGACCAUUAAAAUUCUACGUGAUCUGAGUUCAGACCGGCGUGAGCCAGGUCAGUUUCUAUCUUCAAUUUUUAAUAUGGACUUAGUACGAAAGGAUUAGUCUAUAAUAAAAGAAUUAUUAUAUUAGAUGAAGUAUAAAGUAAAAUUUAGUAAUUUAAUUCUAAUCAAAUUAGCAAAGAUAAUGCAAUUGACUUAGGAUCAAUAGACAUAGGUGAAAGCCCUUUAUUUGAUAUUUAUAAAGAUGGCAGACAAA
RNAcentral lists this ribosomal RNA (672 nucleotides) under Cronia aurantiaca. RNAcentral describes it as "partial 16S ribosomal RNA". The stretch from base 1 to 509 matches the Rfam family "Bacterial large subunit ribosomal RNA", at positions 1944 to 2925 of the family's 2925-position model. The record is from RNAcentral. Lineage: Eukaryota; Metazoa; Mollusca; Gastropoda; Neogastropoda; Muricidae.